AUUAUUAUUGUGUUCGUUCGGCUUUAUGUCUGUUCGGCAUUGUGUCCAUUCAGCUUCUUCGCUUUGGCUCCUUGUCCUUCGGCAAAAGUGCAUUCGGUAUCCUGUCCGCAUACGAAGUAUGAUUGAAACACUUCUUCUAA
This is a long non-coding RNA of Octopus sinensis (East Asian common octopus), 140 nucleotides long. RefSeq lists it as uncharacterized. The transcript is spliced from 3 exons. Lineage: Eukaryota; Metazoa; Mollusca; Cephalopoda; Octopoda; Octopodidae. The record is from RefSeq and is a predicted model, not a curated record.